Hordeum vulgare subsp. vulgare (domesticated barley) is the source of this 139-nucleotide non-coding RNA. Lineage: Eukaryota; Viridiplantae; Streptophyta; Magnoliopsida; Poales; Poaceae. The record is from Rfam.
CCGAUCAAUGAUGACGAGCUAAUCUCCUACAUCACCAAUGGACUCGACAUGGAGUACCAUCCCGUCAUCUCCGCCAACGAGGCUCACACCGAGUCCAUUAGCCUUCACAACCUCUUUGCCUAGAUGAGAAAUUUUGACC